GAUGAACGCUGGCGGCGUGCCUAAUACAUGCAAGUCGAGCGAACAGACGAGGAGCUUGCUCCUCUGACGUUAGCGGCGGACGGGUGAGUAAAACGUGGAUAACCUACCUAUAAGACUGGGAUAACUUCGGGAAACCGGAGCUAAUACCGGAUAAUAUAUUGAACCGCAUGGUUCAAUAGUGAAAGACGGUUUUGCUGUCACUUAUAGAUGGAUCCGCGCCGCAUUAGCUAGUUGGUAAGGUAACGGCUUACCAAGGCAACGAUGCGUAGCCGACCUGAGAGGGUGAUCGGCCACACUGGAACUGAGACACGGUCCAGACUCCUACGGGAGGCAGCAGUAGGGAAUCUUCCGCAAUGGGCGAAAGCCUGACGGAGCAACGCCGCGUGAGUGAUGAAGGUCUUCGGAUCGUAAAACUCUAUUAUUAGGGAAGAACAAAUGUGUAAGUAACUAUGCACGUCUUGACGGUACCUAAUCAGAAAGCCACGGCUAACUACGUG
Molecule: ribosomal RNA, 497 nt
Filed under: uncultured bacterium
Lineage: Bacteria
Description: partial 16S ribosomal RNA
Rfam family: Bacterial small subunit ribosomal RNA
Source: RNAcentral